UACGUAGGGUGCGAGCGUUGUCCGGAAUUAUUGGGUGUAAAGGGCUCGUAGGCGGUUUGUCGCGUCGGGAGUGAAAUCCACUGGCUUAACUGGUGGCUUGCUUUCGAUACGGGCAGACUGGAGGUAUGCAGGGGAGAACGGAAUUCCUGGUGUAGCGGUGAAAUGCGCAGAUAUCAGGAGGAACACCGGUGACGAAGGCGGUUCUCUGGGCAUGUCCUGACGCUGAGGAGCGAAAGUGUGGGGAGCGAACAGG
This 253-nucleotide ribosomal RNA is filed under the name uncultured bacterium. RNAcentral describes it as "partial 16S ribosomal RNA". It matches the Rfam family "Bacterial small subunit ribosomal RNA", at positions 524 to 776 of the family's 1533-position model. The record is from RNAcentral.